This 749-nucleotide ribosomal RNA is filed under the name Pantoea ananatis. RNAcentral describes it as "bacterial SSU rRNA". It matches the Rfam family "Bacterial small subunit ribosomal RNA", at positions 60 to 798 of the family's 1533-position model. Lineage: Bacteria; Pseudomonadati; Pseudomonadota; Gammaproteobacteria; Enterobacterales; Erwiniaceae. The record is from RNAcentral.
AGUCGGACGGUAGCACAGAAGAGCUUGCUCUUCGGGUGACGAGUGGCGGACGGGUGAGUAAUGUCUGGGAAACUGCCCGAUGGAGGGGGAUAACUACUGGAAACGGUAGCUAAUACCGCAUAACGUCGCAAGACCAAAGUGGGGGACCUUCGGGCCUCACACCAUCGGAUGUGCCCAGAUGGGAUUAGCUAGUAGGUGGGGUAACGGCUCACCUAGGCGACGAUCCCUAGCUGGUCUGAGAGGAUGACCAGCCACACUGGAACUGAGACACGGUCCAGACUCCUACGGGAGGCAGCAGUGGGGAAUAUUGCACAAUGGGCGCAAGCCUGAUGCAGCCAUGCCGCGUGUAUGAAGAAGGCCUUCGGGUUGUAAAGUACUUUCAGCGGGGAGGAAGGCGGUAAGGUUAAUAACCUUGCCGAUUGACGUUACCCGCAGAAGAAGCACCGGCUAACUCCGUGCCAGCAGCCGCGGUAAUACGGAGGGUGCAAGCGUUAAUCGGAAUUACUGGGCGUAAAGCGCACGCAGGCGGUCUGUUAAGUCAGAUGUGAAAUCCCCGGGCUUAACCUGGGAACUGCAUUUGAAACUGGCAGGCUUGAGUCUCGUAGAGGGGGGUAGAAUUCCAGGUGUAGCGGUGAAAUGCGUAGAGAUCUGGAGGAAUACCGGUGGCGAAGGCGGCCCCCUGGACGAAGACUGACGCUCAGGUGCGAAAGCGUGGGGAGCAAACAGGAUUAGAUACCUGAGUAGUCCAA